GCAUUCAGGCAGCGAGAGCAGAGCAGCGUAGAGCAGCACAGCUGAGCUCGUGAGGCAGGAGACUCAGCCCGAGGAAAUCGCAGAUAAGUUUUUAAUUAAAAAGAUUGAGCAGUAAAAAGAAUUAGAACUCUAAACUUAAGCUAAUAGAGUAGCUUAUCGAAAUAUUACUUAGUCUUAAUAAUCUAAGAAGAUCUUAAGAGAUAACAUGAAGGCUUAUUUAAACAGUUUGAAAAAGGAAAUGAGGAGAAAAGUAUUUGUACUGUAUAAUGGAGGCUGACCAGAGCAGUUUAGGAGAUUGUAAAGGGAGGUUUUGUGAAGUUCUAAAAGGUUCUAGUUUGAAGGUCGGCCUUGUAGAUUAAAACGAAGGUUACCUAAAUAGAAUCUAAGUGGCAUUUAAAACAGUAAAGUUGUAGAGAAUAGUUUGAAAAUGAGGUGUAGUUUUAAAAGAUUGAGAAAAGUAGGUUAAGUUGACGGCCGUUAUAAAAAUCCUUCGACUGGCGCAUGUACGUUUGAAGGCAUGAGUUGGAAACAGGGAAGAUGGAAGUGUUAGGCUAGCCGGGCGAUGGUGGCGCACGCCUUUAAUCCUAGCACUUGGGAGGCAGAGGCAGGCGGAUUUCUGAGUUCGAGGCCAGCCUGGUCUACAGAGUGAGUUCCAGGACAGCCAGGGCUACACAGAGAAACCCUGUCUUGAAAAAACAAAAAGGUUAGGCUAGUAUUUGGAGAAAGAAGAUUAGAAAAUGGAAGUGAAAGACGAAGAAGACAUACAGGAAGGUGAAGAAAAAGCUGUUAGAGAAGAUAGGAAAAUAGAAGACAAAGCAUCUUUAGAAGACAGAAAAGGUACUUAAAGGCACAGGUAGUAGGAAGCCGAAGAAUAGAAGAUAGAAAGAAGCAAGAUAGAAAAACAAAAUGGAAGUUAAGACAACUUUGGAUGCCAGCAUUCAAGAUAGGCAAAGAAGAUAAGAUUGAGGCCAAAAGGUUGGAUAAGAUAUAAAGUCAGAAGGAAAUUAUCUUUAAAGCCAUAAGUUCAAAUUUCUGAUGGAGCGAGCAGUUUAGAAGAGUCUUUAGACAGCCACAUACAAGAUUGAAGCUAGCAAUCAAAGCUACUAGGACUGAAGUAAAAAGUUAAGGCAGAAUGCCUUUGAAGAGUUAGAAGAAUAUUAAAAGCCUUAACUUGUAGCUUAAUUUUGCUUGAUGACAAAAGGACUUUUGAUAACAGUUUCAAGAUUGUCAGCAUUUUGCAUUGGACUUGAGCUGAGGUGCUUUUAAAAUCCUAACGACUAGCAUUGGCAGCUGACCCAGGUCUACACAGAAGUGCAUUCAGUGAACUAGGAAGACAGGAGCGGCAGACAGGAGUCCCGAAGCCAGUUUGGUGAAGCUAGGAAGGACUGAGGAGCCAGCAGCAGCAGUGCAUGGUGAAGAUAGCCCAGGAAAGAGUGCGGUUCGGUGGAGGAAGCUAGGAAGAAGGAGCCAUACGGAUGUGGUGGUGAAGCUGGGAAAGGGUUCCAGGAUGGUGGAGCGAGAGCGAGUUGGUGAUGAAGCUAGCUGGCGGCUUGGCUUGUCAACUGCGCGGAGGAGGCGAGCAGGCAUUGUGGAGAGGAUAGAUAGCGGCUCCUAGACCAGCAUGCCAGUGUGCAAGAAAGGCUGCAGGGAGAGCAUGCGGUGCGGUAACAUUCCUUGAGGUCGGCAACAUGGUGGUGGUUUUCUGUAACUUGGAUGGUCUGUCUAGAAUCCUAAAGGCAGAUGACUCAAGGGAACCAGAAAAAAGGAAAUCCACUCUCAGGAUAAGCAGAGCUCGCCAGGUUUACAGUUUGUAGGAAGUAGAGGAUGGAUGCUAGCUUUCACACUGAGUGUGGAGGAGCUGGCCAUGGCGGAAUUGCUGAUUUUCCACAGAUGCUAUAGUUGUGUUGACACACUGGGUUAGAGAAGGCGUGUACUGCUAUGCUGUUGGCACGACACCUUCAGGGACUGGAGCUGCCUUUUGUCCUUGGAAGAGUUUUCCCAGUUGCCGCUGAAGUCAGCACAGUGCGGCUUUGGUUCACAGUCACCUCAGGAGAACCUCAGGAGCUUGGCUAGGCCAGAGGUUGAAGUUAAGUUUUACAGCACCGUGAUUUAAAAUAUUUCAUUAAAGGGGAGGGGUAAAACUUAGUUGGCUGUGGCCUUGUGUUUGGGUGGGUGGGGGUGUUAGGUAAUUGUUUAGUUUAUGAUUUCAGAUAAUCAUACCAGAGAACUUAAAUAUUUGGAAAAACAGGAAAUCUCAGCUUUCAAGUUGGCAAGUAACUCCCAAUCCAGUUUUUGCUUCUUUUUUCCUUUUUCUUUUUUUGAGGCGGGCAGCUAAGGAAGGUUGGUUCCUCUGCCGGUCCCUCGAAAGCGUAGGGCUUGGGGGUUGGUCUGGUCCACUGGGAUGAUGUGAUGCUACAGUGGGGACUCUUCUGAAGCUGUUGGAUGAAUAUAGAUUGUAGUGUGUGGUUCUCUUUUGAAAUUUUUUUCAGGUGACUUAAUGUAUCUUAAUAACUACUAUAGGAACAAAGGAAGUGGCUUUAAUGACCCUGAAGGAAUUUCUUCUGGUGAUAGCUUUUAUAUUAUCAAGUAAGAGAUACUAUCUCAGUUUUGUAUAAGCAAGUCUUUUUCCUAGUGUAGGAGAAAUGAUUUUCCUUGUGACUAAACAAGAUGUAAAGGUAUGCUUUUUUUCUUCUUGUGCAUUGUAUACUUGUGUUUAUUUGUAACUUAUAAUUUAAGAAUUAUGAUAAUUCAGCCUGAAUGUCUUUUAGAGGGUGGGCUUUUGUUGAUGAGGGAGGGGAAACCUUUUUUUUUCUGUAGACCUUUUUCAGAUAACACCAUCUGAGUCAUAACCAGCCUGGCAGUGUGAUGACGUAGAUGCAGAGGGAGCAGCUCCUUGGUGAAUGAGUGAUAAGUAAAGGCAGAAAAAAUAAUGUCAUGUCUCCAUGGGGAAUGAGCAUGAGCCAGAGAUUGUUCCUACUGAUGAAAAGCUGCAUAUGCAAAAA
Molecule: long non-coding RNA, 3002 nt
Filed under: Mus musculus (house mouse)
Lineage: Eukaryota; Metazoa; Chordata; Mammalia; Rodentia; Muridae
Description: metastasis associated lung adenocarcinoma transcript 1 (non-coding RNA)
Source: RNAcentral